AUCCAGCUGACGAGUCUCAAAUAGGACGAAAAGCGCGUCCUGGAU
Molecule: non-coding RNA, 45 nt
Organism: Schistosoma mansoni
Lineage: Eukaryota; Metazoa; Platyhelminthes; Trematoda; Strigeidida; Schistosomatidae
Source: Rfam